Molecule: ribosomal RNA, 492 nt
Filed under: uncultured bacterium
Lineage: Bacteria
Description: partial 16S ribosomal RNA
Rfam family: Bacterial small subunit ribosomal RNA
Source: RNAcentral
AGUGAACGCUGGCGGUAGGCCUAACACAUGCAAGUCGAACGGCAGCACAGUAAGAGCUUGCUCUUACGGGUGGCGAGUGGCGGACGGGUGAGGAAUACAUCGGAAUCUACUUUUUCGUGGGGGAUAACGUAGGGAAACUUACGCUAAUACCGCAUACGACCUACGGGUGAAAGCAGGGGAUCUUCGGACCUUGCGCGAUUGAAUGAGCCGAUGUCGGAUUAGCUAGUUGGCGGGGUAAAGGCCCACCAAGGCGACGAUCCGUAGCUGGUCUGAGAGGAUGAUCAGCCACACUGGAACUGAGACACGGUCCCGACUCCUACGGGAGGCAGCAGUGGGGAAUAUUGGACAAUGGGCGCAAGCCUGAUCCAGCCAUACCGCGUGGGUGCAGAAGGCCUUCGGGUUGUAAAGCCCUUUUGUUGGGAAAGAAAAGCAGCAGGUUAAUACCCCGCUGUUUUGACGGUACCCAAAGAAUAAGCACCGGCUAACUUCGUG